GAAAGUCGUAUGCUUUGGAAGAAGCUUGUACAGUUUGGGAAGGGGUUUUUAUUGAUAAAAAAGAGUGAAGCUCCUAUUCUGAGAUUUUGACAUUCGCCUUUUGAUACGAAAAAAAAUUCUCCAGCUAUUUUGU
Erythranthe guttata (spotted monkey flower) is the source of this 133-nucleotide non-coding RNA. Lineage: Eukaryota; Viridiplantae; Streptophyta; Magnoliopsida; Lamiales; Phrymaceae. The record is from Rfam.